This is a long non-coding RNA of Lingula anatina, 1072 nucleotides long. The record is from RefSeq and is a predicted model, not a curated record. Lineage: Eukaryota; Metazoa; Brachiopoda; Lingulata; Lingulida; Lingulidae.
CAUAUUUCUCUUUGGUAUCUAUACUUGUAUGGCAAGCAGCCAGGGUAUUUUGUCUGCUCAACAAACAUAAAAUACCUCACUAAUCAUGAAAAUGGCUGAAGCGUUCUUUACUUCAGGACAUGGAAGAAUAUGAAAGAUUGUUGUAAGAUGAUAUAUUUCUUUAUGUUACAUUUGAACACAGUGCACCAUGUACAGUAUAUGUGCUGCAGGUGUGAGAAAGACGACAGCGAUAGCAGCAGAGACAGGAAGUGGCGCUGGGGAGGCAGGCAGUGGUGUGAGUGAGGCUUCCUCAAAACCCCAGGAGAACACGUAAAUGACAGAAGAUACUGCAGCCACCAUACUUACCCAGGUUAAGAACAGCAGUAGAGAAGGUGUAGAAAACUUGGCAGAUACUUCAGGACAUCUUCAGGCAGCAUUUCUAUCAAUUUGUCAAUCUCAUCUGCUCAGAGGAUAACCGUUUAUAAGACAUGUUAUACAGUGUGUAUUGACAUUGACUCCAAACGUUGGGUCAAAACCUUUCAGAACUUCUUUCAGUUCUCUUUGCUCAACGGCAAAAUGACAUCAAAAUACAUAAUGCCUGGGCAUAUUAUUGAACAUCGAUUUAAAUGUCUUUUCCAGCGUCGUGGAAUGAUGGACUAAAUACCUGGAUGCACUGAUUAUUGCAGAGACCGAUAGCAAUAUCUAGUCAACUAUCACCUGUUUAACAAAAAGUCUUAUGUGAGUUUUGAGGAUAAAUCCAACGCGAGUCUCAUUGAUAGACUGUAUUAUAAUAUAUUUAUUGCCCCAUUGGUAACUGAUUUAAGUUGCUAUUACGUUUUUGUGAAGGAGGAGUCGUUUGGUGAUUUAGGUUCUAUAAUAGGCCCACAAUAACUGGAAUUGACUGGAAUAUUUGUAAUAUUGUUUAUAUCAAGUUGUCAAAUUUAAUAUGUUAAAUUUCACGAACGGGCAUGUUUGUGUUCAUUUAAAAGGAGAAAUUACGUUAAAGGCCAAUGGCGUUUCAGAUCAUUGUUCACCUUUCCGUGUAUUUUACAUGCACGAUAACUAAUUUCCUUAGAUUAUUUAAAGUAGAAUA